UGGCGGACGGGUGAGUAACGCGUGGGUAACCUGCCUCAUACAGGGGGAUAACAGUUAGAAAUGACUGCUAAUACCGCAUAAGACCACAGCACCGCAUGGUGCAGGGGUAAAAACUCCGGUGGUAUGAGAUGGACCCGCGUCUGAUUAGGUAGUUGGUGGGGUAACGGCCUACCAAGCCGACGAUCAGUAGCCGGACUGAGAGGUUGAACGGCCACAUUGGGACUGAGACACGGCCCAG
This 238-nucleotide ribosomal RNA is filed under the name uncultured bacterium. RNAcentral describes it as "partial 16S ribosomal RNA". It matches the Rfam family "Bacterial small subunit ribosomal RNA", at positions 96 to 334 of the family's 1533-position model. The record is from RNAcentral.